RNAcentral lists this ribosomal RNA (253 nucleotides) under uncultured bacterium. RNAcentral describes it as "partial 16S ribosomal RNA". It matches the Rfam family "Bacterial small subunit ribosomal RNA", at positions 524 to 776 of the family's 1533-position model. The record is from RNAcentral.
UACGGAGGAUCCGAGCGUUAUCCGGAUUUAUUGGGCUUAAAGGGAGCGUAGGCGGCCUGUUAAGUCAGUGGUGAAAUCUUUCGGCUCAACCGGAAGCUUGCCUUUGAUACUGAUGGGCUUGAAUGUAGUUGAGGUGGGCGGAAUGUGACAAGUAGCGGUGAAAUGCAUAGAUAUGUCACAGAACACCGAUUGCGAAGGCAGCUUACUAUGGUGCAAUUGACGCUGAGGCACGAAAGCGUGGGGAUCAAACAGG